CAGAGUGACUUUAUUUUAAUAAAACGAAUUUACUCUUUAUUGGUUGUAGAAACAAGUUUAUUUUUAUGUGGCCUGAAUCUAGUACAUUGGAGUUGUAGAAACAACAUUUAUUUUAUGUGGCCUGAAUCUAGUACAUUGGAAGUUGGAAUUUGGAAUGUGUUUUAUGUAGAGGGUAACACAAUGUACUUUUAUUUGAGGCUCUCAUACCCAACAUUCCGGGGAUAGGUGAGCUAGCCAAACCAUGUUUUGUUGAGCCUGUGACGCUUAAAUAAUUAAGCCACACCUCGUUUGUUAUUGGUCAAUGGGGCUUACGUAAUACUCAAAUGUGAAUUUUAAAUAGGCAAUGAGAAGCCUGAGUGGACAGAAUAAACUUAUCAUGUUAAUUUAUGCAUAGGACUAAUUUUAUUUUGGGUAUACAAGCGUGGGCAACUGUAAGAGAAAGGACUUGCUAAGAGAAAUUCCGAGUAGAAGGCAGUGGCCAGACUCGAAGUGAUUUUUGAGACUAAGAAGCCAAGGGAGAUAGGGCAAUGCAUAGCCAGCCUGCAGCAGAGCUAAUGAGAGCUCAUUGAGUCUGAACUAAUAAGAGUUCACGAACCAGCGUAUAGAAAAUUCAGCAGCGUAUAAGCCAGGAGUCCUUCAAUUCCUGGCUUUUGAUCUUGGUUUUGGGAUUGCGUCCCCGUGACCAGAGGAGUGAGACCGGACUGCAGCGGCGGGACCAGAGGACCGUGUGGACUCCGCUGGCCUAGUGGGAAAGCUACGGGCAUAGAGCAUUUGCUGGACACGAGACAACAAGAGACACUCGGACACUUCUUUUCUAUGCUGUAACUAAUAUUUGUGAUUGUACUAAAUACUGGAAGUUGCCCCUUAAUCUGAAUUCAAUAAGGAAUAUAAAUCGUGUGUAUGAUAAGUCUGUAAAUAAAUAUAAAUAUUGUAAAGAGAAGAGUGAA
This 947-nucleotide long non-coding RNA is filed under the name Patiria miniata (bat star). Its description in RNAcentral is "uncharacterized LOC119738805". Lineage: Eukaryota; Metazoa; Echinodermata; Asteroidea; Valvatida; Asterinidae. The record is from RNAcentral.